This 73-nucleotide transfer RNA is filed under the name Caudoviricetes sp. RNAcentral's name for it is "tRNA-Lys". It matches the Rfam family "tRNA". Rfam says of the family: Transfer RNA (tRNA) molecules are approximately 80 nucleotides in length. Their secondary structure includes four short double-helical elements and three loops (D, anti-codon, and T loops). Further hydrogen bonds mediate the characteristic L-shaped molecular structure. tRNAs have two regions of fundamental functional importance: the anti-codon, which is responsible for specific mRNA codon recognition, and the 3' end, to which the tRNAs corresponding amino acid is attached (by aminoacyl-tRNA synthetases). tRNAs cope with the degeneracy of the genetic code in two manners: having more than one tRNA (with a specific anti-codon) for a particular amino acid; and 'wobble' base-pairing, i.e. permitting non-standard base-pairing at the 3rd anti-codon position. Lineage: Duplodnaviria; Heunggongvirae; Uroviricota; Caudoviricetes. The record is from RNAcentral.
GAUUUCAUAGCUCAACAGGUAGAGCACUACACUUUUAAUGUAGGGGUUGUGGGUUCGAUCCCCACUGGAAUCA